This 438-nucleotide unclassified non-coding RNA is filed under the name plant metagenome. Its description in RNAcentral is "partial contains small subunit ribosomal RNA, internal transcribed spacer 1, and 5.8S ribosomal RNA". The record is from RNAcentral.
UUUCCGUAGGUGAACCUGCGGAAGGAUCAUUGCACACACGAUGCAGCAAACUAGCGAACUGUGUUUGUCCCCCACCUACCCCAAACACGAGGGGCCGCAUCUGGAGGUGCGGCUGUCGACGGCAAGGUCCCGACCUUCGGGUCCCCGCAGUGGUUCCCGCAAGCGGGCUGAUCAUGUCGCCGUCUGGGUGUCCCGCGCGGGCUCUCGCCUUGCCUUAGGGUUGGGCGACGCGGGCAUUCUCCUCCCUUCGAUGGCGUCGUCCCCUCCUCCGGGAGAGCGACACGCCUCGAGGGCCGUUUACAACUUUGCACCAUGUACAACACCAGUGACUGUGUAUACCUGUGUCCCGGUUCCGCUGCUGCCCUCGGGUGUGCGGGAUUGGUCCAUAGGAACAAGAGUAAAUAAAAACAACUCUCAGCAACGGAUAUCUUGGCUCUU